UUCUGACCUGCAGCUAUUUGUAAAGAGCAGCAGCUCAGCAGACCCAGUAACCUUCAGUUUUAACUCGGCCCCUGUGGUUUUCCACCGUCAGAUUGUGGGGCAGGAGAGAUGGUGUCAUCAGCUGCAACGGGCAAAAACUAUUGGAAGACAAAUGGACUAUACAAAGCUGCGGUCCACGAUCAAAUUGGAGAAAGGUGUCACCUCGACAAUAGAUCUGUGCCGUUACCACGGCAACAAGGCUCUGGAGUCCAUCCAGUGUUUCCCUUCCUCUGAGGCACGUUCAGCCUUGGAGAACAUCGCUCGCGCUGUCACAAAGUUCUGACCCCCAUACUCUCCUGUGGCCUCAGGACAACGUGCACAAUCAAUCGAUGCUAUAAAAACAAUCUUGGUUCCAUUUAAGCCAAUCAGUGAGCAGAAUACUCACGACCCCCUAAGUCCGACCGGUGUUUACUGGAAAUGAAACUACAGAUCACACCUUUAA
Long non-coding RNA from Oncorhynchus nerka (sockeye salmon), 481 nucleotides. RefSeq lists it as uncharacterized. The transcript is spliced from 3 exons. Lineage: Eukaryota; Metazoa; Chordata; Actinopteri; Salmoniformes; Salmonidae. The record is from RefSeq and is a predicted model, not a curated record.